AGUGAACGCUGGCGGUAGGCCUAACACAUGCAAGUCGAACGGCAGCACAGUAAGAGCUUGCUCUUACGGGUGGCGAGUAGCGGACGGGUGAGGAAUACAUCGGAAUCUACUUUUUCGUGGGGGACAACGGAGGGAAACAUAUGCUAAUACAGCAUAAGACCUGAGGGUGGAAGCUGGGGAUCUUCGGACCUUGGCUGCAUGAAUGAGCCGAUGUCGGAUUAGCUAGCUGGCGGGUAAAGGGACAACCAAGGCACGGAUCCGUAGCUGGCCUGAGAGGAUGACCGCCAACACGGGAACGAGGACACGGUCCAACCUCCUACGGGAGGCAGCAGUGGGGAAUAUUGGACAAUGGGCCCAAGCCUGAUCCAGCCAUACGGGGUGGGUGAGGAAGGCUUUCGAUUUGUAAAGCCCUUUGUUUGGGAAAGAAGAGCAGCAGGUUGAUACCCCCCUGUUCUGACGGUACCCAAAGAAUAAGCACCGGCUAACUUCGUG
RNAcentral lists this ribosomal RNA (492 nucleotides) under uncultured bacterium. Its description in RNAcentral is "partial 16S ribosomal RNA". It matches the Rfam family "Bacterial small subunit ribosomal RNA", at positions 29 to 507 of the family's 1533-position model. The record is from RNAcentral.